RNAcentral lists this small RNA (282 nucleotides) under Microcebus murinus (gray mouse lemur). Its description in RNAcentral is "Metazoan signal recognition particle RNA (ENSMICG00000027928.2)". The record is from RNAcentral. Lineage: Eukaryota; Metazoa; Chordata; Mammalia; Primates; Cheirogaleidae.
GCCAGGUGUGGUGGCUCACACCUGUAAUCCCAGCACUCUGGGAGGCUGAGGCAGGAGGAUUGCUUGAGCUCAGGAGUUCGAGACCAGCCUAAGCAAGAGUGAGAGCCCAUCUCUACUUAAAACAGAAAAAUUAGCCAGGCAUCAUGGCACAUGCCUGUAGUCCUGGCUACUUGGGAGGCUGAGGCAGGAGGAUCCUUUAAGAUCAGGAGUUUGAGGCUACAGUGAGUAACGGUUGUGGCACUGCACACUCUAACCUGGGCAACAGAGUGAGACCCUGUCUCA